AAUUGAAAAAGGCAAAACCUUUCGAAAGAAGGUGACGCAAAGCCAUGAGUCUACAGCAGUUUUACUGCCAGGAUCGUCAGACCGCCACG
This 89-nucleotide non-coding RNA is filed under the name Parasporobacterium paucivorans. RNAcentral describes it as "c-di-GMP sequence". It matches the Rfam family "c-di-GMP-I riboswitch aptamer". Rfam says of the family: GEMM was predicted in a large-scale screen for bacterial structured RNA regulatory elements. Genes associated with GEMM are involved in a diverse array of functions, including chemotaxis regulation, signal transduction, secretion and chitin. RNAcentral also lists the same sequence under 1 other name. The record is from RNAcentral. Lineage: Bacteria; Bacillati; Bacillota; Clostridia; Lachnospirales; Lachnospiraceae.